This 657-nucleotide long non-coding RNA is filed under the name Ornithorhynchus anatinus (platypus). RNAcentral describes it as "lncRNA (ENSOANG00000038922.1)". Lineage: Eukaryota; Metazoa; Chordata; Mammalia; Monotremata; Ornithorhynchidae. The record is from RNAcentral.
AUGUUUAACGUGUGGGUCACUUUCACAUUCCGGCCGUAUUUUCUCAUUUUCAGGCUGCGUUGGGGUCUGUGGGUGAGGGCGAGGGCAACUGGGCCGCUGGCGGUCAGCUGCACAGAGCCGGGAGGGCGUCUCUGCACUGUCAGAGGGCCGUGGCUGUCGCCUUGCUCCCGAAGAGCAGGUGGCGACAGUGUCAGCAUCAGCUCGCGUUGCCCUUGCGUCAGGCCUUCUUCCUCGGGCUCGGGAGCUCCUCUCCUCGCCCCUCCGCCGCUUCCCGACUCCCGCCCUGACCCUGCCUGGGCUGGCCCGCAGGUCUCAGCCGCUUGUGGAGGCCCUGAGGGGCGGGGGAUCUCAGAGGACCGUCGGGAUCUGCCGGCGCCUGCUCCGUCCCCGAGGGGUGAGGCUUGUGCCCGUGGUGAUGGUGGUGGUGGUGAUGGUGGUGCGGGCGGUCGUUGUGGGGCAGGGGCGCCUCCGUCGCUUUCUCUUUGGCAGCCGAUGAGGUGUUGGUACAGAACUCUUCAGCCUCGGGCAUCUGAAACACAGUCAUCACGUUUCAUUUCCCCAACUGGGCCCUGCUCUCCGCUAACUUGGCCGGAACGAGUUACCCAACGCCACACAGGAAGCAACUGGCAAAGCAGAAUUAAAACACGGGUCUUCUGA